GACGAACGCUGGCGGCGUGCUUAACACAUGCAAGUCGAACGGUAAGGCCCUUCGGGGUACACGAGUGGCGAACGGGUGAGUAACACGUGGGUGAUCUGCCCUGCACUUCGGGAUAAGCCUGGGAAACUGGGUCUAAUACCGGAUAGGACUCCUGGCUUCAUGGUUGGGGGUGGAAAGCUUUUGCGGUGUGGGAUGGGCCCGCGGCCUAUCAGCUUGUUGGUGGGGUGAUGGCCUACCAAGGCGACGACGGGUAGCCGGCCUGAGAGGGUGACCGGCCACACUGGGACUGAGAUACGGCCCAGACUCCUACGGGAGGCAGCAGUGGGGAAUAUUGCACAAUGGGCGCAAGCCUGAUGCAGCGACGCCGCGUGAGGGAUGACGGCCUUCGGGUUGUAAACCUCUUUCAGCUAUGACGAAGCGCAAGUGACGGUAGUAGCAGAAGAAGGACCGGCCAACUACGUGCCAGCCGCCGCGGUAA
This 478-nucleotide ribosomal RNA is filed under the name uncultured bacterium. RNAcentral describes it as "partial 16S ribosomal RNA". It matches the Rfam family "Bacterial small subunit ribosomal RNA", at positions 28 to 523 of the family's 1533-position model. The record is from RNAcentral.